This 430-nucleotide ribosomal RNA is filed under the name Pseudomonadota bacterium. Its description in RNAcentral is "Proteobacteria bacterium partial 16S ribosomal RNA". It matches the Rfam family "Bacterial small subunit ribosomal RNA", at positions 355 to 776 of the family's 1533-position model. The record is from RNAcentral. Lineage: Bacteria; Pseudomonadati; Pseudomonadota.
UGGGGAAUAUUGGACAAUGGGGGGAACCCUGAUCCAGCCAUGCCGCGUGUGUGAAGAAGGCCUUAUGGUUGUAAAGCACUUUAAGCGAGGAGGAGGCUCUUUUGGUUAAUACCCAAGAUGAGUGGACGUUACUCGCAGAAUAAGCACCGGCUAACUCUGUGCCAGCAGCCGCGGUAAUACAGAGGGUGCGAGCGUUAAUCGGAUUUACUGGGCGUAAAGCGUGCGUAGGCGGCUUUUUAAGUCGGAUGUGAAAUCCCCGAGCUUAACUUGGGAAUUGCAUUCGAUACUGGGGAGCUAGAGUAUGGGAGAGGCUGGUAGAAUUCCAGGUGUAGCGGUGAAAUGCGUAGAGAUCUGGAGGAAUACCGAUGGCGAAGGCAGCCAUCUGGCCUAAUACUGAAGCUGAGGUACGAAAGCAUGGGGAGCAAACAGG